AUAUUGGUAGAUCAGUGGUAGAAUUCUUGCCUUCCAUGCUAGAGGCCUGGUUCGAUUCUCAGCCAGUACA
This 70-nucleotide transfer RNA is filed under the name Loxodonta africana (African savanna elephant). It matches the Rfam family "tRNA". Rfam says of the family: Transfer RNA (tRNA) molecules are approximately 80 nucleotides in length. Their secondary structure includes four short double-helical elements and three loops (D, anti-codon, and T loops). Lineage: Eukaryota; Metazoa; Chordata; Mammalia; Proboscidea; Elephantidae. The record is from Rfam by way of RNAcentral.